RNAcentral lists this unclassified non-coding RNA (329 nucleotides) under soil metagenome. RNAcentral describes it as "partial contains 5.8S ribosomal RNA, internal transcribed spacer 2, and large subunit ribosomal RNA". The stretch from base 1 to 120 matches the Rfam family "5.8S ribosomal RNA", at positions 35 to 154 of the family's 154-position model. The record is from RNAcentral.
GAUGAAGAACGUAGCGAAAUGCGAUAAUUAAUGUGAAUUGCAGAAUUCAGUGAAUCAUCGAAUCUUUGAACGCACAUUGCGCCCCUUGGUAUUCCGAGGGGCAUGCCUGUUCGAGCGUCAUUAUAACCCCUCAAGCUCAGCUUGGUGUUGGGGCCUGCUGCACUGGCAGCCCUUAAAAUCAGUGGCGGCGCCAUCUGGCUCUAAGCGUAGUAAUUCUUCUCGCUAUGGAGUCCUGGUGGAUGCUUGCCAUCAACCCCCAAUUUUUCUAUGGUUGACCUCGGAUCAGGUAGGGAUACCCGCUGAACUUAAGCAUAUCAAUAAGCGGAGGA